AUUGAACGCUGGCGGAAUGCUUUACACAUGCAAGUCGAACGGCAUCCCUUACUUCGGUCUGGUGGCGGUUGGCGAACGGGUGAGUAAUGUAUCGGAACGUGCCCAGUCGUGGGGGAUAAUGUAGUGAAAAUUACGCUAAUACCGCAUACGAUCUAUGGAUGAAAGCGGGGGAUCGCAAGACCUCGAGCGAUUGGAGCGGCCGAUAUCAGAUUAGGUAGUUGGUGGGGUAAAGGCCCACCAAGCCAACGAUCUGUAGCUGGUCUGAGAGGACGACCAGCCACACUGGAACUGAGACACGGUCCAGACUCCUACGGGAGGCAGCAGUGGGGAAUUUUGGACAAUGGGCGAAAGCCUGAUCCAGCCAUUCCGCGUGCAGGAUGAAGGCCCUCGGGUUGUAAACUGCUUUUGUACAGAACGAAAAGGUUUCUACUAAUACUAGGAGCUCAUGACGGUACUGUAAGAAUAAGCACCGGCUAACUACGUGCCAGCCGCCGCGGUAA
Molecule: ribosomal RNA, 500 nt
Filed under: uncultured bacterium
Lineage: Bacteria
Description: partial 16S ribosomal RNA
Rfam family: Bacterial small subunit ribosomal RNA
Source: RNAcentral